This 899-nucleotide ribosomal RNA is filed under the name uncultured marine bacterium. RNAcentral describes it as "bacterial SSU rRNA". It matches the Rfam family "Bacterial small subunit ribosomal RNA", at positions 8 to 916 of the family's 1533-position model. The record is from RNAcentral.
AGAGUUUGAUCCUGGCUCAGGACGAACGCUGGCGGCGUGCUUAACACAUGCAAGUCGAACGAUGAAGCUGGAGCUUGCUCCAGUGGAUUAGUGGCGAACGGGUGAGUAACACGUGAGAAAUCUGCCCCUGACUCUGGGAUAACUGCGGGAAACUGUAGCUAAUACCGGAUACUUUCCCCGGUGGGCAUCCACUGGGGAAGAAAGAAUUUCGGUCAGGGAGGAUCUCGCGGCCUAUCAGCUUGUUGGUGAGGUAACGGCUCACCAAGGCGACGACGGGUAACCGGCCUGAGAGGGUGACCGGUCACACUGGGACUGAGACACGGCCCAGACUCCUACGGGAGGCAGCAGUGGGGAAUAUUGCACAAUGGGCGCAAGCCUGAUGCAGCAACGCCGCGUGAGGGAUGACGGCCUUCGGGUUGUAAACCUCUUUUAGCAGGGAAGAAGCGAAAGUGACGGUACCUGCAGAAAAAGCACCGGCUAACUACGUGCCAGCAGCCGCGGUAAUACGUAGGGUGCAAGCGUUGUCCGGAAUUAUUGGGCGUAAAGAGCUCGUAGGCGGUUUGUCACGUCUGCUGUGAAAAUCCAAGGCUCAACCUUGGACUUGCAGUGGGUACGGGCAGGCUAGAGUGCGGUAGGGGAGAUGGGAAUUCCUGGUGUAGCGGUGGAAUGCGCAGAUAUCAGGAGGAACACCAAUGGCGAAGGCACAUCUCUGGGCCGUAACUGACGCUGAGGAGCGAAAGCGUGGGGAGCGAACAGGAUUAGAUACCCUGGUAGUCCACGCCGUAAACGGUGGGUGCUAGCUGUGGGCCACAUUCCACGUGGUCCGUGACGAAGUUAACACAUUAAGCACCCCGCCUGGGGAGUACGGCCGCAAGGCUAAAACUCAAAGGAAUUGACGG